RNAcentral lists this long non-coding RNA (2587 nucleotides) under Medicago truncatula (barrel medic). Its description in RNAcentral is "lncRNA gene3800". Lineage: Eukaryota; Viridiplantae; Streptophyta; Magnoliopsida; Fabales; Fabaceae. The record is from RNAcentral.
GAAAGACACACAGUAAUGGCAUACCAAUCCAAAAUUAACCAAAAACAUGUGAUUAAACUCCCCGGAGAAUGUUAGAGUUUAGAGGAGCAUCUCAUGUCUUUGCUCUUGCUCAUUGAUAUUGUCACUGUCAUCCAGAGAAAAUGGGCAUCCAUUGUCUCUUUGCAUGGACAUAUGAAGACAUGAGGAGUUAUAUAUUUGAACAAAGGCUUCACUUAAAUGAUAAAGAACUUCCCCCUGAUCUCCACCGUUGAUCUUGGGCUCAUAAUGAUCCUCAAUAUGAAAAAGCGAAGACAUAUUUUCGCUUUCGGGUAGCUGUAAAUUUCUGGAAAUCGAACUUCGGUAAUUUGAUCGUGAACUGGUUAAGGAUAAGCACCCAGGUGAAGAUGAAAGCCAGGCUUCCGUAUCACGACGAUGAUGGUAGUCACAGGAACCUGCUUUUCUAACCCAAUGAUGGUAGGCUGGAAGGUAUAUGCUGUCUUGAACAGAUGAAGCUUCAUUCUGGAAAUUUUCUGACAAUUUAAAGUAGUGUUUAUUGUGCGAGAAGGACAAUGCUGUGUGGUUACAAUUCAUGUCCAUUUCUUCAUCAUCCUUGUAAAGAUGAUCUCCAAACUGGGGCUUUUGAUAUUUCAAUAAACCAGAAUCCAAAACUGAAUUGAAGUCAUGUGGUUUGUCGAGUAAUAAGGGUGAGGGCCUAAAGUGGAAGUCACCUAAUGAAUCAUUUGAUAUCGGGUCUUCACCAUGGUCUAAAAUUGAUAAUGCAGGGGCCAUAUAUGGUUUUGCAUAAUUAGAAGUGACAGGUAACUUUAUCUCAUCCUUUGUGCAAUCAAAAGCAUUUUCCAGAAGAAGAGGAAUCGGUUCUCUCUCAAGUUUCCCCAGCUCAUUGAAAUGAUCCAGUGUAAAAGUUUCAUGCUUUUGCUCAUUACACAGAAAUCCAUGAGUUACAUCAUUCUUGUCAAGGUAACUUGGAAGCUCACCAAAUUCGCUUUCAGCUUCUGUUCGGAACACAGGUCGAGACAUGUGAGGAUAGAUUGGAAAGUCGGUGUGAGGAGUAAUUAAGUCAACUGAUCGAAGGAACAUAGGAGGCAACAAAUGAUCACUGAAGGAUGAGCUUGGUUCAAGUUCAAGGAGUUUCCUCUUAGGUAUCUGUUGGAUUUCAGUACAUUGAAAAUCUACUUCGUUAAACAGAGAUCCAUGAGUUACGUCACCCUUACCGGAGGUCCUGAAACUUGGAGUUCCACUCAGUUUGCAGUUGGGUGCUGUUAUACUGUACUGAGGUUGAAAGUUCUGAGAAUGAUAGGUUGGAAACUCGGCAUGUGGAGUAAGUCUCUCUCCCAAUUCGGGAAACAUAGGAGACACCAUCUGAUCAUUGAAGUAUGAGCCAGAUUCAAGUUCAAGAAGUUUCCUCUUAGGCAUCUGAUGGAGUUCUUUACAUUGAAAAUCUAGCUCUUGAGAAUCAAGCAGACUAUAUCUGGUAGCAUUUUCUACUUCGUUAAACAGAGAUCCAGAAGUUAUGUCAUUGUCACCCUUGACAUAGGCACUGAAACUUGGAGUUCCACUUAGUUUGCACUCAGGCGCUGUUAUGCUGUACCGAGGUUGAAAUUUCUGAUAAUGAUAGGUUGGAAACUCAGCAUGUGGAGCAAUUUUCUCACCUGAUUCGAGAAACAUAGGAGACAACAUCUGAUCAUUGCAGUAUGAGCUUGAUUCAAGUUCCAGAAGUUUCCUCUCAGGUAUCAGAUAGUGCUCGUUAAAUUGAACAUCCGACUCUCGAGAGUCAAGUAAAUCGUAUCUGGUAGCACUCUCUAUUUCUCCUGAAUUAGGUUCCUCGUAUUUCUGACCAGAAGAUCACUUUUGUCAAGGAAGGAAAGUCAUUGGAAGGAUUGAUAGCAUUACAAAGGGCAUCUAAAUAAACAUACAUUUUUUACGGUGCAGUCAGCGCUCAUCGGAAACAGGCGACUAAGAAGCAUGGAAACAAUAUCAAGCCUGAAAAAUUCCUAUUUUAUUCAAAAUGGUAAAGAUAAAAAUAUUCAAUAUCAAUGAAAAAACUUGUCUAACCCUUUUGAACACGGUUUCUCUGUAUCAGGAAAUAAGGUAUCGGCAACACACUGUCGUAGUUUCUGUCUCUUUCUAGAGAAGAUGUCUCCAUCCUCAUACUGGUUUCCUGAAGUACCAUGUAGUAAAUUGUCUUACACAAACUAUAUCAAUACAUUCUCAAAUAUAAUCAUUAAAUGUGACGUCUUCAGCUGCAUAAAACACAUUUUCCCUAAAAUUAUGAAUUUAACAUGUGAAGAUUAAUUAACAAAUGAGUGGACCCUGUCAAAGAUUGGCACUAAACUACUGAAGACCGAGUAAUAUAAACUAUAUAUGUUCUAACUGUUGUACAAAUUUUUCCCCUAUAACCCCCUACUACUGAAGCAGUCAAAAAGAAGAAAAUCUAACCUUCAUGUGAAAAUCCCUGGGGUUUGAUGGUGUCACCACAACCUUGAGAAUUUGUCAGCUUGCUGCACAUAGAGUACAUGUCUGCAUACACCAAGAGGAAAAAGAUCUUUUUGAUACUGGAUUGUUGUUUAGCAGGAAACUGAAAAUUGAA